This 460-nucleotide ribosomal RNA is filed under the name uncultured bacterium. Its description in RNAcentral is "partial 16S ribosomal RNA". It matches the Rfam family "Bacterial small subunit ribosomal RNA", at positions 338 to 795 of the family's 1533-position model. The record is from RNAcentral.
CCUACGGGAGGCAGCAGUGAGGAAUAUUGGUCAAUGGGCGCGAGCCUGAACCAGCCAAGUAGCGUGAAGGAUGACUGCCCUACGGGUUGUAAACUUCUUUUAUAAAGGAAUAAAGUGAGGCACGUGUGCCUUUUUGUAUGUACUUUAUGAAUAAGGAUCGGCUAACUCCGUGCCAGCAGCCGCGGUAAUACGGAGGAUCCGAGCGUUAUCCGGAUUUAUUGGGUUUAAAGGGAGCGUAGAUGGGUUGUUAAGUCAGUUGUGAAAGUUUGCGGCGCAACCGUAAAAUUGCAAUUGAUACUGGCAGCCUUGAGUACAUUAGAGGUAGGCGGAAUUCGUGGUGUAGCGGUGAAAUGCUUAGAUAUCAGGAAGAACUGCGAUUGCGAAGGCAGCUUACUAAACUGCCACUGACAUUGAGGCUCGAAAGUGUGGGUAUCAAACAGGAUUAGAUACCCGAGUAGUC